GUCGGAGCGGAGCGGGAUGCGGAAGCGGCGCUCGGCCUGCAGGGGAAGCGAUUCCAGCCUCGUAAAUGCGCUCGGUCGGAAGGGAGCCGGGCACUAGGGCCCGCAGAAAACAGGAAUAUUUGAUUAGGGAAUCAUGCGCUCGGCAGAGGAGCUGGUUGUAUUAAUACCAACAGUCUUUUGUUAUUACCAAGAAGUCUUGUCUGAUGGGAUUCCUGUCUGAUUCAUUGGCUCCACAGCCAUGCAGUUAUCAUGUUUGAGACACACAUUGGGCCCUUAUCUUCGAGAUUCUGCAGUGGGGAAGGAGAUGCUCUUUUAAAGCAGGAACAUGCUUUCCAGCUUCUGGCUCCUGAGUGGAGAAGGUAAACAGCCAGCAUGACAUAUCUCCAGCUGUUCCCAAGCUCUUGCAGUUGCUUCUUGGAAAAAGGGAGGCACAAACUGUGUGUAGAGAUGGCCUCCUAAAGCCAGAGAUUGCAUGGAGUCAUCCCAGGGGGUCAGCACUGGUUCCUGCCUGACUCUGUACAUCUUCACCUCACCCUCAAGUGAGAGUUGGUUUCCAGUUGUGUUAUUGGCUGUGUUUCCCACUGUGUUUCUCCACAAGUCCAGAGGAGGCUACCACAAGGAUUGGAAAGACAGAGCACCUCUGCUACGAGGGAAUUGGUUGUUCAGCCUGGAAAAGAAGUGGCUUAGGGGUGAUCUAUUUGUGGCCUCCAGUACCUGAAGGGAACCCACAAGAAAGAGCAGGAUUUUUACAAGGGCGUGUGAUGACAGGACAAGAGGGAAUGGAUCCAAACUGAGUGUAGCUUUAAAUCAGGUAUUAGGAAAAAAUUAGUGACUGUGAGGGUGGUGAGACACUGGAGCAGGUUGUCCAGGGAAGUGAAUGUCCCAUCCCUGGAAAUGUUCAAGGUCAGGUUGGAGGGGCUCUAAGCAACCUGGUCUAGUGGAAGGUGUCCCUGCCCAUGGCAGGGGAUUGGAACUAGAGGAUCUCUAAGGUCCAUUCCAACCCAAACCAUUCUAAGAUUCUGUAAGAUUUCAGCAAAUAAAUCUUGGUUCAAAAUGCAGUGAUUAAUAUUUCUCCACUGCAAGAGCUCACCGACUGGAAGAUUGCACCAACACAUCUGUGGCUGUCAAAGAUAAGAUCCACAUUUUACAGGUUUUACAUUCUGAUAAAUAGUAAAGCAGAAGUCAGUAUCUGCAUCAACAGCAUUGACAUUACUUGCCAAAGACCACUUUUUGCCUCCUGUUCACAAUCUCAUCUGAAGCUUAUUGUAACAGGUUUUGCAGCCUAUCCGUCCAAGAUAAGAUCACUGGAGUUCAUCAUAGUUGAAGAGGGCCUCCUCUCAGCUAUAGGUUACCAGGAGCUGACUAAGUUGUGGCUGGUUGCCUGAAGGGAAUGUGCUGAGCUGGCUUGCUCAGCAGCAGAGUGUCUAGAGGAAGAGAAAAACAGGUCCUGUCUGGAGAAGGACAAGUUCAAGGCUGGGAAAAGUAGAGUUAUAUCUCUAGGGGAAACAGGAGUAGAACUUGGGGAUCUUACCUAGCUUCAGUGCACCUCCCUGCACCUUCAAUGCUUUUAAAAAUACCACAAAAGUGAGCUUCCUUUUAAUAAGCUGGUUUACAUAAUCUAAGUGCUAUACUAUGUCAGUUCUAAUUAGAUCAGUGUGUACUGCAAAUGAGAGUUUUUCUCCCUAGUCCCAGCUGGAAGCAUAUCUGAAGAUCUUCAGAUGACAUUGUUACUUGUUUACAUCUUGUCUCCUUUUUCUUUAGGAGAUUUGAAGGUUUAACUUUUCAGUUUCAAUCAAAAGUGGCUGCAAAUGAAUAAAAGCUUGGGUUUUAUGAGUAUUAUAAAAGCAGCAAACACAGGGAUUAUUUAAGAGCCUUUCAGCCAUAUGUGGGACACAUACAGGUGGUAGAAUCACUGGGGUGGAGAAUAGUAUCUCUACUGUGUGCUAAUAUUGUGGUGUAAUAAUAAAAUUUUUCACUGCAUUUUCCUAGACAUUUCUUAUUUUCAAAAAACACAGUCUUAAUUAUUUUCUCAUGUUCAUUUUUACUAGUACAAGUACAAAAUUAUGCACUGUAAAUAAAAGGGAAUUUAGGAGAGUUUUCUUUUCAAAAUGUUCAGAAAUGGAACAGUCUGAAGGGUAACAGAGAAUUAGCAAGACAUGCACUCCUAAAUAGAAUAAUACUUUGCAAUUCUGGUAUGCCAAAUGUCUACAAGGAGGUCAGAACACUUAACAUAUGUUUAGUUCAUUCUUACCUCAGUGUUCACAUGUCACAGGCCAGGAAAUACAGAGAGGGGAUUUGAUUGAUAGACUAAUUGAUUUACCAAAUGUUAGGUAGAAAUUGUUGCCAGAGUCUUAUUUCCUAAACCCAAUAUUUUGUUUCAAUUACAAGAUCAAAGGAAAAUGCAGCAUGUGCUGAUCAAUGUUCAGAUUCAGCCAACUCUGUUUGUAGAAGAUUGUAACCAUGUAGAGCAUUAAUGCAGUGCAGAUUGUGCUCUGUAUUCCCUGGUCAUACAGUGUGGCUCUGUCUCCUUCUACUGGUUUACAUUUGUUGUAGAUUUGCUCCUACUGGCUCUGGACUACUACAGGUUUAUACUUCUGUUCAGUUAACUGGAGUUCCUACACUGAGUGCCUACACUGAGUGCCAAGUCUUGGAAUUUCUUGAGCUGAUUCACUCAGGAGAUUAUUAGUGUAAUCUAAUGAAUCUGCAAUCCCAAGUGUGGGCAGACAGCAAGUUACCAGAAGAGGGUGUAGCAGGAAUAAACUGAAGCACAAACAUCCAUCUGCUUGCCAGUAUCACCCAACGUGCACUUGUUCCUUGGUGGAAGAAGGGCGAGUACCCAAUGAUUCCUCUGAAGCAGGAUAGAAGUCUUUGGCCUAAUCCAGUGUGGCUGCUGUUACGUUCCUUAUGCACUCUGCAACAGCAGGAUGUGGGAGGAAGGGAAUGCAAAUGUCAGGAAGGGAAAACACUGCUGGAUAUAAAGAUGCCACAGGCCUGUGCCAUCACACUCUUCUGCAAGGCAGGAGUGACUGUCCCUCACAUCUGCUGAACAGGCCACAGAGUCCUGUCUGGAUGAGCUGUGCUGGAAAGAAACAAGGAGGGUUUCUGUCAUCUCUGCAGGAAGACCGAUGACCUGAAAAUGAAAGGUUUAGCAUGGGAGGCAACUGGACUGGUUUCAUUAGCUGCAUCUACCUGAAUUUUCCCAGUGGUGGGUUUUACUGUAAGUAGACACUCCAAAAGCAGCUGGAACUUAGGGAGUUAACCAGGAAUUUACUUGAAGGAAAGAGUAAUUUCAGCUGCAAAGCUGUAACACAGUGUAAUAGUGAGGAACUGAUACAAUGUAAUCUGGUGAACUGGCUGAGCUACUAUUUCUGAUCCACUGUCACAUGGAAAGGUCCCAUUGUGUCUCAAUUACUGUGCAGUUCUGUGGGCUUUACUGCUCCUCUGCAGCCCACACGUCCUCUGGCUUCAGAGAAUGUUUUCAAUGUUUCAUAAGCUUAAAAUCACAAGCAACCUAGGAGAGCUUGCUUGUGCUUAUUUAUGCUGCUGAUGGACUUUUCAUAGUGAUGAAAAAUAUACAGCUUCAUUGCCAUGCUGAAGAACAUAUCAUCACACUAUUGUUUAGAAAGGAAUCCUUAGGAAAGAUCAUCAAGUUAACCCAGCACUGCCAAGCCCACCUCUAAACCACGUCUCUAAAUGCUACAUCUACAUGGUCCUUUUAAAUGCCAUUGGGGAUGGUGACUUCACCACUUCCCUGGGCAGGCUUUUCCAAAGCUUGAUUACCAUGUCUUCAUCACAGUGAAGAAAGUUUUCCAAAUAUCCAGUCUGAACCUUCCCCUGCACAAGUUGAGGCCAUUUCCUUAUCCUGUUGCUUGUUACCUAGAAGACGCCAACCUGCAUCUGGCUCCUUUCAGGUCUCCCUUGGGCCUUCUUUUCUCCAGAGCUGAGGCUAGACAACCCCAGCUCCUUCAGCUGCUCCUUGUAAGACUUGUGGUCUUCUACUCAAGACUGAGGCAAACAAGGCCUUGUAAGUACCUUAGCCUUCACCUUCAUUCUUUGUCACUGUGUUUCCUCCGGCAUCCAAUAAAGGAUGGAGAUUCUCCUUAGCCCUCCAUUUGUUGCUAAUAUAUUUAAGGAUUUUUUUUUAUUGUGUGGCAUUUGACAGGUUAAGUUCUAUCUGGGCUUUGGCCCUUCUAAUUUUCUCCCUCCAUAAAACUUCAUGACAUUCUUGUCCUCCUGAGUUUCCUGCCCCUUCUUCCACAGGUCAUGAACUCUUCUUUUUCCCAAGUUCCAGUCAACACUCUCUGUUCAGCUGCACAUUUCAGGAACCUGCUCAACUGUUUCCUCUCUGCUGUAUUUCUAGAAGGCAUCUGGUAAGUUGAAGUCCCCCACAAGAAGAAGAACUAGAAAUUGUGAAAUUCUCAGCUGCUUAUAGAGUCUUUCACCUGCCUCUUCACCCUGGAUGGAUGAUCUCUAACAGAUUCCCACCAGGUUAUCUGACUUGUUGGCCUGCCCCCCUGAUUUUCACCUAUAAAGGCUCAACUCUUCCGUCGCCAUCAUUAAGCUCUAGAAAAUCAAAACACUCCUUAACAUACAUGGCUACCCCAGAAGGAAGUCAGGGUGUGAAGCAGAGACUGUCAGCCUUGGGUGGCCUCUUGCACAUUAACAGGAGUAGAAAGAGCCAUUGUUCUGGGAAGGGAACCCCAAUCCAUACAUUCUGCACAGGCUAUUUUUACUGCCAGGCAUAACAGAAGAGGGAACUUACAUGUGCCCUUACAUGGUUUUGCACCUCAGCUCCCUCUGCAAAUCCCCAGACAUGGAGUUGGUGACAGAAGAUUUAACUAAGAUUGCAGAGGCAGGAGAGUACAGGCAGAAGAGGGGGAGAUCUCUUGGAAAAAGUAUUCUGAAGAGAAAUCUGUCCCAGAGGCUGUAGUUGCACUAAGCUAAACAGCAGUGGGCUCGCUCUUUGGCUCAGAGACUGAUUGAUAAAAUGUGGGGCCAUACUGUGAAAUUGAGCUAGUCUCCAAAGCAGGGCUGCCACACACAUAUUGCCUAUUGGAAGCAGCUCCUGCUCAUGCUACAGUCCUGAAUCACACCAGCAAAGUAUUGGGCCAGUUGGCCCAGAUCAACCAUCUAAGAAUGUAAUACUGAAGAUUACUAUUGGGAAGAGAUGCCCUGCUGUGGUCACCUUUCCUGCAGGAUCCUGCAGAACUUCCAUGACAAUUGCCUUAUUGGUGGCUGAGGAGGAGACAGGCCAGAAUGUGGGGCAGCUACUCAGUGCCCUUGAGACCCUGGAUACUCUUGCAGCCAUGAGGAAACACUAAUCCAGUUCCAGUGUCCUCUGUGGGUCAAUGUUGUGCACCUCCCAAGGCAGGCUGUGCUGUGGAAAGCAGGUCCUCCCAAAAAGGCCAGAAGUAAUGGAAACAUUUCACAGCCAAGGCUAGAACUGGUCACCAUCACCAAGUCACCAAAUAGCUCUGGCCCAGCUCCACAGAAAUCCCAUCUGGUCUUUCCUCUGGGCUGAUCCUGCACUGCCAGAGGCAGUCCCACAGCCGUGCUUGGCACUGCACUCCAAGUAAUACAGCUCUUGGCUCCUGCCUGAGUCAGCAGCUGCCCCUGCCCAAUGUAAUGGGACUUGGGUUUGCUACUGCAAAAUAUUUUGCACGUAUAAAGGCUUUAAAUGCAUACUAGACAUACAGAUUGUGGUCUGAACAUUUCUGAGGAGUGGGCAGUUCUGUUUAAAGUGAAUGCUACUGAAAACUCAACAGUAACAGCAUCACAAGCAAGAAAAUGUAGGAUUAAUAAUGGGGUAAAAAAAGAAGUAAACCAGUGUAUUUUCCUGGUGCUUUGUCAAUAGCAACUUUAGACAACUUCAUUACAGAGCUGAAUAUGCAGGCCACAAGCCUCUUACUUACAGAGCAGUCAGCUUAACCAAAAAUCCCUCUCUGCUAUCAAAUCUAUUUGAAAGGAAUAAUUUAGGGAAGAUGAGCUGAACUGUAUUGACAAGCUGUGUCUGCUGUCUCUGAAGGAAUCACUGAAGAGCAUGUCUUUCUUUUUCUGUGCAAUUCCCCAUCUUCCUUCUUUGUGCCAAUUCCAUGAUGUCCCUAACAGAAUCAGUGGAUGUGAAGAGGUGAGAGCACAGCACUGUAGCUUCCCACACGAAGUUACAAUUUGCCUUACAUUGCUUAAAAUUUGGUCCAAGUCAUGCCUCAACUGUAAAUUACUUUUUUUGUUGUGAUGAAAACUAUAUAUUGUAUGCAAAUAGUGACUCCAUGCACAGAAACCUUGAAGGCCUGUAAUCUCCAAGGACCUGUGCAAAUUGUACAAAUGGUGAAAUUCAAAAGAACUAUACUGGUGUGAAACAGAAGACCCAAACCUGAUUGUUGGGGAUUUGCACAGCAUCUCAUUAAAAAUAACACAAAGCACAAACCCAAAAAAUGUGUAACAUGUCCCCGUACAUGGGCUGCAGUCAUGCCUGUAAACAGAUUUGUUUCUUCCAUGAGCACACAGGGAUGGUUUGCACAGGAAACAAGCAAGAGCUGCCAGGCAGAUACUCUUGUUAAAUGCAGCCACUCCAAAUUUGGGAGCACAUUCCAUUUCCUGGCCUUGGGCGAGGCAGGGGUUUUCCAGAGCACUCCUCAGAGCUGCGUCAGAGAGCAUUUGGUCUGGGCAUGACAUCUCAGAUGCAUGAUGAUUUUAUUUAGAACACGCUUCAGCUCUGCAGGCUGCAGAGGCAAGGUGCCACGCUUCAGCAAGAAGGGGAAGGACUAUAAAUAGAGCAGGCUGGGCUGCCACAGGCAGCUUUUUCUGGUUUAGCCUGGAAGAAGCAGAAAUCCAGUCUGCUGAGGAGAAAAUGCACAGUACAGGCACAAACAGCAGCUCUUCUCUCCAACCAGUAACUGUCUUUCAUUUCGUAGGUACACAGGUACAGCCACUUACAUUUAAGGAACAAGGACACACCACCUUCCAGCUGUGCUUUCCUCCAGCUCUCAGUUUUUUGCAAGCUCCUUACAUGCAAACUGUCACGUUUUCAUGAAACGAUGCAUUCCCGUCUACUCACAAGGGGAAGACAUUCCUUCAUUUACAAAACAAGGAAUAAAAUGAGUCUCAAAAUUAAGUGCACAGAGGUAACACACAUUUCAUAUUUUUGAGGCCCAUGGAGCUUUAAGAAUUGUUCUUGCUCUAAGUUGUAUCCCACUAUGAGAUCUCCCUGGAACUGCUUGAAUAAAGAAGGGGCAUUUUUGCUGCAAUACAAGUACAUACAAAUAGCACCAAGAGCCCAGUCCUGUGCUCAGGAGACUUUUGUUUUCCCUUGCAGGUACCUACACUGAGAGCUUUUUCUUCCCUUAAUCUGUGCUUGACUCAGUUACUAUUAAAGAGAAAAAGUAUUUCUACCUGUUUCCACAGCCUUUCACACCUUUCAGUGAGUAUAUUUUAUUUACAGCACAAAGCUAAUGGAAGCCAUCUUUGGACAGUGCAUUUUAGACUCAAAGCACUUCAAUUCUUUGAAUUCUGCACCCCCAAAGCUGCAGCCAAGAGUAGAGAGUAAUGGUUCCCCCUAUUCCCUCCUGCUGGAAUGCACCCUAAGAAGGACAACAUUUAAAAUAAUUUCAGAAUAUGCUCUCAACAUUACACUGUGCACAAAAGGAGAUGGGAUCACAUGGGUCCAAAAAUCAGAUAAUAAAUAUUACAUUUGAAAGCAAACCAUCAAGUCUUAGGGAAGACAGGUGAAUCUCCUAAAUCUUUGUCUUCCACAAAAUAUUUAGCCUACAUUGCCUGUGUUUUCAUCCCUGCUGGCCCUUGCUAAAUCUGAAAUAAAAGAACAUAAGUUUGUAGAGGAGAGUAUCAGUAACCUAUUAAAACCAAGGACUUCCACAAACACACUUUGUUUAUGGUCUACUGUAAUGUUCCUCCUGCCCACCUCUGCUACACAAGCAUGAAGGAUUUCUCCAUUCCAGAAAGUUUAGGGUUUAAUAGCCUGUGAGGUUUUUCUAUACAUUACUUAUUUAAAUCUCUGGAUAUUUGAAUAAUAUAAUUUGUUCACAUUAAGAAAGCACUACAUAUAAUUUUAUUUGUAGAAUAUCAAGUUGAAAACAGAUAUAAAAACAACAGAACAUAUAAACUUAAUAGGAAACCCAACUAAAAUAAUAAAACAGUGCAUUUUUCUCGAUAGGUUUUUGUUGAAGAUCAUACUGAAAUCAAACUUACUCCUUUAACCUGAGUAUUUUAGCCUUUGUUAUUGUUUCUCUAUUGUUUCUCUGUAAUAAAGAAUCCUAAGUCACUUUAACAAACAUUCUAAUCAAUAAAUCCAGAAACACAACAAGUUUCUGUAGUAGUUCCCACUGCAUGAAUGCACAUGGACAACACUAUAUAUAAUAAAGCCAAACCAUUUAACAAGUGUGAAGAGAUUUGCACUAUGAAUAAAGUGAACACAAACUCAAGUGAACUCUGAAAUUACAGAGCUGUGUUAACAUAAAGGCACAUUUUAUUUUCAGUGUAAAUUCACAUUUCUAGAAAGUUAAAUUUUGUGCCCAGGAAACUUCAAGUCAUGACAGCACAAUCAGCCAAACAACUCUGAUUGCACGUAUCUGAACUUUCAAUAGAAAAAUCUGGCUUCUAUUUCUUUAAUCCAGUUUUAUUAAAGAAGAAAUUAAAUUAGAAAUAGAAGGGCUCUCCCUCCCAUAUUUACAGACUGCAAACUAUAUUGCUUUCUCAUCAGAAAUUCUAGUAUUCUUGUCAAAUUU
This is a long non-coding RNA of Passer domesticus (house sparrow), 8741 nucleotides long. RefSeq lists it as uncharacterized. The record is from RefSeq and is a predicted model, not a curated record. The transcript has 4 exons. Lineage: Eukaryota; Metazoa; Chordata; Aves; Passeriformes; Passeridae.